CCUACGGGUGGCACCAGUGAGGAAUUUUGGUCAAUGGACGGAAGUCUGAACCAGCCAAGUCGCGUGAAGGAAGGCGGCCCUAAGGGUUGUAAACUUCUUUUGUAAGGGAAUAAAGGUCGGUACGUGUUACCGGUUUGCAAGUACCUUACGAAUAAGGAUCGGCUAACUCCGUGCCAGCAGCCGCGGUAAUACGGAGGAUCCGAGCGUUAUCCGGAUUUAUUGGGUUUAAAGGGUGCGCAGGCGGGGGAUUAGGUCGGCGGUGAAAUAUCAGGGCUCAACCUUGAGAGUGCCGUCGAAACCGGUUUUCUUGAGUGCGGAUGAAGUAGGCGGAAUUUGUGGUGUAGCGGUGAAAUGCGUAGAUAUCACAAGGAACACCGAUUGCGGAGGCAGCUUACUAAACCGCAACUGACGCUCAUGCACGAAGGCGUGGGGAUCAAACAGGAUUAGAUACCCUAGUAGUC
Molecule: ribosomal RNA, 461 nt
Filed under: uncultured bacterium
Lineage: Bacteria
Description: bacterial SSU rRNA
Rfam family: Bacterial small subunit ribosomal RNA
Source: RNAcentral